This 478-nucleotide ribosomal RNA is filed under the name uncultured bacterium. RNAcentral describes it as "partial 16S ribosomal RNA". It matches the Rfam family "Bacterial small subunit ribosomal RNA", at positions 28 to 523 of the family's 1533-position model. The record is from RNAcentral.
GACGAACGCUGGCGGCGUGCUUAACACAUGCAAGUCGAACGGUAAGGCCCUUCGGGGUACACGAGUGGCGAACGGGUGAGUAACACGUGGGUGAUCUGCCCUGCACUUCGGGAUAAGCCUGGGAAACUGGGUCUAAUACCGGAUAGGACCACUGCCUGCAUGGGUGGUGGUGGAAAGCUUUUGCGGUGUGGGAUGGGCCCGCGGCCUAUCAGCUUGUUGGUGGGGGGAUGGCCUACCAAGGCGACGACGGGUAGCCGGCCUGAGAGGGUGACCGGCCACACUGGGAGUGAGAUACGGCCCAGACUGCUACGGGGGGCAGCAGUGGGGAAUAUUGCGCAAUGGGCGCAAGCCUGAUGCAGCGACGCCGCGUGAGUGAUGACGGCCUUCGGGUUGUAAACCUCUUUCAGCACCGACGAAGCGCAAGUGACGGUAGGUGCAGAAGAAGGACCGGCCAACUACGUGCCAGCCGCCGCGGUAA